GAGUUUGAUUCUGGCUCAGGAUGAACGCUGGCGGCGUGCCUAACACAUGCAAGUCGAGCGAGAAUCUUGGAAGUGGAGACUUCGGUCGAAGCGACUAAGAGGAAAGCGGCGGACGGGUGAGUAACGCGUGGGCAACCUGCCUCUUACUAGAGGAUAGCCACCGGAAACGGUGAUUAAUACUGUAUGAAGUGCAUUUAUCGCAUGAUAGAUGUCCCAAAGAUUUAUCGGUAAGAGAUGGGCCCGCGUCUGAUUAGCUAGUUGGCAAGGUAACGGCUUACCAAGGCGACGAUCAGUAGCCGACCUGAGAGGGUGAACGGCCACACUGGAACUGAGACACGGUCCAGACUCCUACGGGAGGCAGCAGUGGGGAAUAUUCGGCAAUGGGGGGAACCCUGACCGAGCAACGCCGCGUGAGUGAUUGAAGGUCUUCGGACUGUAAAACUCUGUUGAAUGGGAAGAUAAUGACGGACCAUUGAG
This 477-nucleotide ribosomal RNA is filed under the name Peptostreptococcaceae bacterium canine oral taxon 104. Its description in RNAcentral is "bacterial SSU rRNA". It matches the Rfam family "Bacterial small subunit ribosomal RNA", at positions 9 to 465 of the family's 1533-position model. Lineage: Bacteria; Bacillati; Bacillota; Clostridia; Peptostreptococcales; Peptostreptococcaceae. The record is from RNAcentral.